RNAcentral lists this ribosomal RNA (421 nucleotides) under uncultured bacterium. Its description in RNAcentral is "bacterial SSU rRNA". It matches the Rfam family "Bacterial small subunit ribosomal RNA", at positions 355 to 774 of the family's 1533-position model. The record is from RNAcentral.
UAAGGAAUAUUGGACAAUGGACGCAAGUCUGAUCCAGCCAUGCCGCGUGAAGGAUGAAUGCCCUCUGGGUUGUAAACUUCUUUUAUAGGGGAAGAAAGAUACUUUUUUUAAGGUAGUUGACGGUACCCUAUGAAUAAGCACCGGCUAACUCCGUGCCAGCAGCCGCGGUAAUACGGAGGGUGCAAGCGUUAUCCGGAUUUACUGGGUUUAAAGGGUGCGUAGGCGGGCAUGUAAGUCAGUGGUGAAAUACCGGAGCUUAACUUCGGAACUGCCAUUAUACUAUAUGUCUUGAAUAUUGUGGAGGUAAGCGGAAUAUGUCAUGUAGCGGUGAAAUGCAUAGAUAUGACAUAGAACACCGAUUGCGGAGGCAGCUUGCUACGCAAAUAUUGACGCUGAGGCACGAAAGCGUGGGGAUCAAACA